AUUGAACGCUGGCGGAAUGCUUUACACAUGCAAGUCGAACGGUAGAGGGGGCAACCCCCUUGAGAGUGGCGAACGGGUGAGUAAUAUAUCGGAACGUGCCCAGUCGUGGGGAUAACGUAGCGAAAGUUACGCUAAUACCGCAUACGAUCUAAGGAUGAAAGCGGGGGAUCGCAAGACCUCGCGCGAUUGGAGCGGCCGAUAUCAGAUUAGGUAGUUGGUGAGGUAAAGGCUCACCAAGCCGACGAUCUGUAGCUGGUCUGAGAGGACGACCAGCCACACUGGGACUGAGACACGGCCCAGACUCCUACGGGAGGCAGCAGUGGGGAAUUUUGGACAAUGGGCGCAAGCCUGAUCCAGCAAUGCCGCGUGCAGGAUGAAGG
This 380-nucleotide ribosomal RNA is filed under the name uncultured bacterium. RNAcentral describes it as "bacterial SSU rRNA". It matches the Rfam family "Bacterial small subunit ribosomal RNA", at positions 30 to 414 of the family's 1533-position model. The record is from RNAcentral.